UACGUAGGAGGCGAGCGUUGUCCGGAGUUACUGGGCGUAAAGGGUGCGCAGGCGGCGGUGCGCGUGGCGAGAUGAAAUCUCCUGGCUUACCUGGGAGGGUGGUCGCCAGACGGCAUCGCUUGAGGGUCGGAGAGGGGCGUGGAAUUCCGGGUGGAGCGGUGAAAUGCGUAGAGAUCCGGAGGAACACCAGUGGCGAAGGCGACUUCCUGGCCUGUUCUUGACGCUGAGGCGCGAAAGCUAGGGGAGCAAACGGG
RNAcentral lists this ribosomal RNA (254 nucleotides) under uncultured bacterium. Its description in RNAcentral is "partial 16S ribosomal RNA". It matches the Rfam family "Bacterial small subunit ribosomal RNA", at positions 524 to 776 of the family's 1533-position model. The record is from RNAcentral.